GCCAGAUCAGCGGAUGGGGAUCCACAACGAGUCCUGAAGGUGAGAACACCUGGGACAGGUGAGAACACCUGGGACAGGUGAGGGGGAUGGGAACACACCUGGGACAGGUGUGAAUGGGGUGUGAACUCACCUGCCCGAGAGCCGGGACCACCUGCCAGAUCAGCGGAUGGGGAUCCACAACGAGUCCUGAAGGUGAGAACACACCUGGGACAGGUGAGAAACACACCUGAGGCAGGUGAGGGGGAUGGGAACACACCUGGGACAGGUGAGGGACAGGUGUGAAUGGGAUACCUGGGACAGGUGUGAAUGGGGUGUGAACUCACCUGCCCGAGAGCCGGGACCACCUGUCAGAUCAGCGGAUGGGGAUCCACAACGAGCCCGGAAGGUGAGAACACCUGGGACAGGUGAGGGGGAUGGGAACACACCUGGGACAGGUGAGGGACAGGUGAGAAUGGGGUACCUGGGACAGGUGUGAACUCACCUGCCCGAGAGCGGGGACCACCUGCCAGAUCAGCGGCUGGGGAUCCACGACCAGUCCGGAAGGUGAGAACACCUGGGACAGGUGAGGGGUACCUGGGACAGGUGUGAAUGGGGUGUGAACUCACCUGCCCGAGAGCGGGGAGCACCUGCCAGAUCAGCGGCUGGGGAUCCACAACCAGUCCUGAAGGUGAGAACACACCUGGGACAGGUGAGGGUGGGACAGGUGUGAAUGGGGUACCUGGGACAGGUGUGAACGCACCUGCCCGAGAGCGGGGAGCACCUGCCAGAUCAGCGGAUGGGGAUCCACAACCAGUCCGGAAGGUGAGAACACACCUGGGACAGGUGAGAGUGGGAACACACCUGGACAGGUGUGACAGGAGUAGCUGGGACAGGUGAGGGGGUGAAGUUACCUGUGCACAGGUGAGAGCUCAGCUCAGGUGUUCACCUGGACAGGUGUGACCCCAGGUGACCCCAGGUGACCCCAGGUGACCCCAGAUGACCUUGAGUGACCCACGUGUGACCAACCCAGGUGUGUCCAGGUGUGUCCGGUCAGUUUUUACCUGUCCAGGUGUGUCCGGUCAGUUUUUACCUGUCCAGG
This is a long non-coding RNA of Malurus melanocephalus (red-backed fairy wren), 1078 nucleotides long. RefSeq lists it as uncharacterized. The record is from RefSeq and is a predicted model, not a curated record. The transcript is spliced from 3 exons. Lineage: Eukaryota; Metazoa; Chordata; Aves; Passeriformes; Maluridae.